UCUAAACUAAACAUUAUGACGUAAUUUGGGGUAUAUAGAGUCAAGGACAAAGGAUUACGCUCUCUUCCUGCUACGAUCCGUUUGCUCUCCUCUCUGAUGUCAAGACGACUCUCUGUAACAUCGUUAAGAAGUACCAUCUGUUAAGUAUAUGAUUGUUUCCUGUUGAAUGUAGAAUAAAUACUAAUUUUUUAUAAAGAACGUAAGAUUGCGUAUUACUACUUUUCAAUAAUAUAGACAUAUAUUAUUGUGGCGAGCAUUUGGCCCAAGAAUAUAUAUACAAAAGACGUAUAUAUAUCAAUCAACUGAAGAUAAGAAGAAAUUAAGAA
Molecule: non-coding RNA, 326 nt
Organism: Pelobates cultripes (western spadefoot toad)
Lineage: Eukaryota; Metazoa; Chordata; Amphibia; Anura; Pelobatidae
Source: the annotation of a GenBank genome assembly